UUUCCGGAAUCGACUUUUGUUUUAUCACCGGAAGUGAUAUUGAAAUUUCAAUUUUGAAACUAAAACAGAUCAACAAAGAGAGCGAAGAAAAUUGUUUGUUACGCGAUAUAUACUCACUUGGAGCUAAAAGAAAAGCAACAAAGGAUAAGUUCAAUAUGCAUGAUAUGCAGGUUUACAAUUUGGAAGUGGCGCAGGUUCUUUGGAAUGUCUACAACCUUUCAGGAGAAUUUUUUUUUUCAAAAGCAUGGCACAGCAAGAAAAAGAUAUAAGACACUACAAGACAAUCUAAGUGACUUUGAAUAAGACAAUUGAUUGACUUUUUCAAUGUAUUCUUAAAUAAAUCAAAUAGUUGAUGUAAAA
Mytilus californianus (California mussel) is the source of this 360-nucleotide long non-coding RNA. RefSeq lists it as uncharacterized. Lineage: Eukaryota; Metazoa; Mollusca; Bivalvia; Mytilida; Mytilidae. The record is from RefSeq and is a predicted model, not a curated record. The transcript is spliced from 3 exons.